GAUGAAGAACGCAGUGAAAUGCGAUACUUGGUGUGAAUUGCAGAAUCCCGUGAACCAUCGAGUCUUUGAACGCAAGUUGCGCCCGAAGCCACUAGGCCGAGGGCACGCCUGCCUGGGCGUCACACGCCGUUGCCCCCCCAUCUACUCCUUCGGGAUUGCGGGGGGGCGGAUGAUGGCCUCCCGUGCGCCUAGCCGCGCGGUUGGCAUAAAUACCAAGUCCUCGGCGACGCACGCCACGACAAUCGGUGGUUGCGAAACCUCGGUUGCCCGUCGUGUGCGUUCGUCGCGCAUCGAGGGCUCGAAAAAAUGCUCGGCUCCGGCUGGGCUUUCAACGCGACCCCAGGUCAGGCGGGGUUACCCGCUGAACUUAAGCAUAUCAAUAAGCGGAGGA
This 391-nucleotide unclassified non-coding RNA is filed under the name soil metagenome. RNAcentral's name for it is "partial contains 5.8S ribosomal RNA, internal transcribed spacer 2, and large subunit ribosomal RNA". The stretch from base 1 to 122 matches the Rfam family "5.8S ribosomal RNA", at positions 35 to 154 of the family's 154-position model. The record is from RNAcentral.